UUAAGCGACUAAGCGUACACGGUGGAUGCCCUGGCAGUCAGAGGCGAUGAAGGACGUGCUAAUCUGCGAUAAGCGUCGGUAAGGUGAUAUGAACCGUUAUAACCGGCGAUUUCCGAAUGGGGAAACCCAGUGUGAUUCGUCACACUAUCAUUAACUGAAUCCAUAGGUUAAUGAGGCGAACCGGGGGAACUGAAACAUCUAAGUACCCCGAGGAAAAGAAAUCAACCGAGAUUCCCCAGUAGCGGCGAGCGAACGGGGAGGAGCCCAGAGCCUGAAUCAGUGUGUGUGUUAGUGGAAGCGUCUGGAAAGGCGCGCGAUACAGGGUGACAGCCCCGUACACAAAAAUGCACAUGCUGUGAGCUCGAUGAGUAGGGCGGGACACGUGGUAUCCUGUCUGAAUAUGGGGGGACCAUCCUCCAAGGCUAAAUACUCCUGACUGACCGAUAGUGAACCAGUACCGUGAGGGAAAGGCGAAAAGAACCCCGGCGAGGGGAGUGAAAAAGAACCUGAAACCGUGUACGUACAAGCAGUGGGAGCCUCUUUAUGGGGUGACUGCGUACCUUUUGUAUAAUGGGUCAGCGACUUAUAUUCUGUAGCAAGGUUAACCGAAUAGGGGAGCCGAAGGGAAACCGAGUCUUAACUGGGCGUUAAGUUGCAGGGUAUAGACCCGAAACCCGGUGAUCUAGCCAUGGGCAGGUUGAAGGUUGGGUAACACUAACUGGAGGACCGAACCGACUAAUGUUGAAAAAUUAGCGGAUGACUUGUGGCUGGGGGUGAAAGGCCAAUCAAACCGGGAGAUAGCUGGUUCUCCCCGAAAGCUAUUUAGGUAGCGCCUCGUGAAUUCAUCUCCGGGGGUAGAGCACUGUUUCGGCAAGGGGGUCAUCCCGACUUACCAACCCGAUGCAAACUGCGAAUACCGGAGAAUGUUAUCACGGGAGACACACGGCGGGUGCUAACGUCCGUCGUGAAGAGGGAAACAACCCAGACCGCCAGCUAAGGUCCCAAAGUCAUGGUUAAGUGGGAAACGAUGUGGGAAGGCCCAGACAGCCAGGAUGUUGGCUUAGAAGCAGCCAUCAUUUAAAGAAAGCGUAAUAGCUCACUGGUCGAGUCGGCCUGCGCGGAAGAUGUAACGGGGCUAAACCAUGCACCGAAGCUGCGGCAGCGACACUAUGUGUUGUUGGGUAGGGGAGCGUUCUGUAAGCCUGCGAAGGUGUACUGUGAGGUAUGCUGGAGGUAUCAGAAGUGCGAAUGCUGACAUAAGUAACGAUAAAGCGGGUGAAAAGCCCGCUCGCCGGAAGACCAAGGGUUCCUGUCCAACGUUAAUCGGGGCAGGGUGAGUCGACCCCUAAGGCGAGGCCGAAAGGCGUAGUCGAUGGGAAACAGGUUAAUAUUCCUGUACUUGGUGUUACUGCGAAGGGGGGACGGAGAAGGCUAUGUUGGCCGGGCGACGGUUGUCCCGGUUUAAGCGUGUAGGCUGGUUUUCCAGGCAAAUCCGGAAAAUCAAGGCUGAGGCGUGAUGACGAGGCACUACGGUGCUGAAGCAACAAAUGCCCUGCUUCCAGGAAAAGCCUCUAAGCAUCAGGUAACAUCAAAUCGUACCCCAAACCGACACAGGUGGUCAGGUAGAGAAUACCAAGGCGCUUGAGAGAACUCGGGUGAAGGAACUAGGCAAAAUGGUGCCGUAACUUCGGGAGAAGGCACGCUGAUAUGUAGGUGAAGUCCCUCGCGGAUGGAGCUGAAAUCAGUCGAAGAUACCAGCUGGCUGCAACUGUUUAUUAAAAACACAGCACUGUGCAAACACGAAAGUGGACGUAUACGGUGUGACGCCUGCCCGGUGCCGGAAGGUUAAUUGAUGGGGUUAGCGCAAGCGAAGCUCUUGAUCGAAGCCCCGGUAAACGGCGGCCGUAACUAUAACGGUCCUAAGGUAGCGAAAUUCCUUGUCGGGUAAGUUCCGACCUGCACGAAUGGCGUAAUGAUGGCCAGGCUGUCUCCACCCGAGACUCAGUGAAAUUGAACUCGCUGUGAAGAUGCAGUGUACCCGCGGCAAGACGGAAAGACCCCGUGAACCUUUACUAUAGCUUGACACUGAACAUUGAGCCUUGAUGUGUAGGAUAGGUGGGAGGCUUUGAAGUGUGGACGCCAGUCUGCAUGGAGCCGACCUUGAAAUACCACCCUUUAAUGUUUGAUGUUCUAACGUUGGCCCCUGAUCGGGGUUGCGGACAGUGUCUGGUGGGUAGUUUGACUGGGGCGGUCUCCUCCUAAAGAGUAACGGAGGAGCACGAAGGUUGGCUAAUCCUGGUCGGACAUCAGGAGGUUAGUGCAAUGGCAUAAGCCAGCUUGACUGCGAGCGUGACGGCGCGAGCAGGUGCGAAAGCAGGUCAUAGUGAUCCGGUGGUUCUGAAUGGAAGGGCCAUCGCUCAACGGAUAAAAGGUACUCCGGGGAUAACAGGCUGAUACCGCCCAAGAGUUCAUAUCGACGGCGGUGUUUGGCACCUCGAUGUCGGCUCAUCACAUCCUGGGGCUGAAGUAGGUCCCAAGGGUAUGGCUGUUCGCCAUUUAAAGUGGUACGCGAGCUGGGUUUAGAACGUCGUGAGACAGUUCGGUCCCUAUCUGCCGUGGGCGCUGGAGAACUGAGGGGGGCUGCUCCUAGUACGAGAGGACCGGAGUGGACGCAUCACUGGUGUUCGGGUUGUCAUGCCAAUGGCACUGCCCGGUAGCUAAAUGCGGAAGAGAUAAGUGCUGAAAGCAUCUAAGCACGAAACUUGCCCCGAGAUGAGUUCUCCCUGACCCUUUAAGGGUCCUGAAGGAACGUUGAAGACGACGACGUUGAUAGGCCGGGUGUGUAAGCGCAGCGAUGCGUUGAGCUAACCGGUACUAAUGAACCGUGAGGCUUAACCUU
RNAcentral lists this ribosomal RNA (2899 nucleotides) under Escherichia coli. Its description in RNAcentral is "23S ribosomal RNA". It matches the Rfam family "Bacterial large subunit ribosomal RNA". Lineage: Bacteria; Pseudomonadati; Pseudomonadota; Gammaproteobacteria; Enterobacterales; Enterobacteriaceae. The record is from RNAcentral.